AUUAAACGCUGGCGGCAUGCCUUACACAUUCAAGUCGAACGGCAGCGGGGGAGAAGCUUGCUUUUCCUGCCGGCGAGUGGCGAACGGGUGAGUAAUACAUCGGAACGUGCCCUGUAGAGGGGGAUAACUAGUCGAAAGAUUAGCUAAUACCGCAUACGACCUGAGGGUGAAAGUGGGGGACCGCAAGGCCUCAUGCUAUAGGAGCGGCCGAUGUCUGAUUAGCUAGUUGGUUGGGUAAAGGCCUACCAAGGCGACGAUCAGUAGCUGGUCUGAGAGGACGAUCAGCCACACUGGGACUGAGACACGGCCCAGACUCCUACGGGAGGCAGCAGUGGGGAAUUUUGGACAAUGGGCGAAAGCCUGAUCCAGCAAUGCCGCGUGUGUGAAGAAGGCCUUCGGGUUGUAAAGCACUAUUGUCCGGAAAGAAAUGGCUCUGGUUAAUACCUGGGGUCGAUGACGGUACCGGAAGAAUAAGGACCGGCUAACUUCGUGCCAGCCGCCGCAGUAA
This 508-nucleotide ribosomal RNA is filed under the name uncultured bacterium. RNAcentral's name for it is "partial 16S ribosomal RNA". It matches the Rfam family "Bacterial small subunit ribosomal RNA", at positions 30 to 523 of the family's 1533-position model. The record is from RNAcentral.